GUUCUUGUAGUUAAAGUUUGUAACGACGGCUUUUCAGGCCGUAAAUCCCGGAGAAAGGCCGGGCGGGAAUU
RNAcentral lists this transfer RNA (71 nucleotides) under Emberiza pallasi. Its description in RNAcentral is "tRNA-Glu". The record is from RNAcentral. Lineage: Eukaryota; Metazoa; Chordata; Aves; Passeriformes; Fringillidae.